GUAUCACUACUCGAGCACUAAAUAGUUUCUCUUUCGUUCCCUAUAUAUAAACCCAUUCAUCUUCUUUAGCGUAGUCUCCAAACCUAAGCGUAUGCUCUCUCUCACGUCAAGAGUUCUGAUUCUCUCUCUAGAGCCUUCUGAUUUUUCCCUCUUUAAAAUUCUUCUCAGAUCUGAUUGUUCUUCAUGCAAGUACAAAUCCAACUGAUUUUCCAUUCUCUCUCUACAAACGUAUUAUGGGAG
RNAcentral lists this long non-coding RNA (240 nucleotides) under Actinidia chinensis (golden kiwifruit). RNAcentral's name for it is "long non-coding RNA (ACHI_LNC003360)". Lineage: Eukaryota; Viridiplantae; Streptophyta; Magnoliopsida; Ericales; Actinidiaceae. The record is from RNAcentral.